RNAcentral lists this ribosomal RNA (1326 nucleotides) under metagenome. RNAcentral's name for it is "bacterial LSU rRNA". It matches the Rfam family "Bacterial large subunit ribosomal RNA", at positions 1578 to 2925 of the family's 2925-position model. The record is from RNAcentral.
AGUUAGUACCGAAGUCCGGGAUGGAAGAUGGCGAGAAAAGCUGUGUGUAUUUCUGCGGUGCCCGUACCGCAAACCGACACAGGUAGGUAGGAAGAAGAUUCUAAGGCCAACGGGAGAAGGGUUGUUAAGGAACUCGGCAAAUUGACCCCGUAACUUCGGGAGAAGGGGUGCUCCAGAGAUGGAGCCGCAGAGAAUCGGCCCAAGCAACUGUUUACCAAAAACACAGGUUUGUGCUAAAUCGAAAGAUGACGUAUACGAGCUGACGCCUGCCCGGUGCUGGAAGGUUAAGAGGAGAUGUGCGAGCAUUGAAUCGAAGCCCCAGUGAACGGCGGCCGUAACAAUAACGGUCCUAAGGUAGCGAAAUUCCUUGUCAGGUAAGUUCUGACCCGCAUGAAAGGCGUAAUGAUUUGGGCACUGUCUCGACAGCCCGCCCGGCGAAAUUGUAGUACCGGUGAAGAUGCCGGUUACCCGCGACAAGACGGAAAGACCCCAUGGAGCUUUACUGUAGCCUAAUAUUGGGUUUCGAUGUUGCAUGCACAGGAUAGAUGGGACACUGGGAAGCAAGUGCUUUGGCAUUUGUGGAGUGGCCGUUGGGAUACCAUCCUUGCGAUAUUGGAAUUCUAACCUGCGCCUUUGAAUCAAGGCGGGGGACAUUGUUAGGUGGGCAGUUUGACUGGGGCGGUCGCCUCCUAAAGAGUAACGGAGGCGUUCAAAGGUUCGCUCAGCUUGAACGGAAAUCAAGCAAAAGAGUGCAAACGCAGAAGCGAGCCUAACUGCGAGACUGACGGGUCGAGCAGUAACGAAAGUUGGAGUUAGUGAUCCGGUGGUAUGUGAGUGGAAAUGCCAUCGCUCAACGGAUAAAAGUUACCCUGGGGAUAACAGGCUGAUCUCCCCCAAGAGUCCACAUCGACGGGGAGGUUUGGCACCUCGAUGUCGGCUCAUCGCAUCCUGGGGCUGUAUUCGGUCCCAAGGGUUUGGCUGUUCGCCAAUUAAAGCGGUACGCGAGCUGGGUUCAGAACGUCGUGAGACAGUUCGGUCCCUAUCUGUCGUGGGCGCAGGAUAUUUGAUGGGAGCUGUUCCUAGUACGAGAGGACCGGAGCGGACGUACCUCUGGCGCACCAGUUGUUCUGCCAAGGGCAUAGCUGGGCAACUAUGUACGGAUCGGAUAAACGCUGAAAGCAUCUAAGCGUGAAGCCGACCCAAAGAUAAGAUAUCCCAUUGUUUCAAACAAGUAAGACCCCUUGAAGACUACAAGGUUGAUAGGCAUGAUGUGUAAGUGGAGUGAUCCAUUCAGCAAGCAUGUACUAAUAGGUCGAGGGCUUGACC